This 440-nucleotide ribosomal RNA is filed under the name uncultured bacterium. RNAcentral describes it as "partial 16S ribosomal RNA". It matches the Rfam family "Bacterial small subunit ribosomal RNA", at positions 338 to 795 of the family's 1533-position model. The record is from RNAcentral.
CCUACGGGUGGCAGCAGUGGGGAAUAUUGCACAAUGGGGGAAACCCUGAUGCAGCGACGCCGCGUGAGCGAAGAAGUAUCUCGGUAUGUAAAGCUCUAUCAGCAGGGAAGAAAAUGACGGUACCUGACGAAGAAGCCCCGGCUAACUACGUGCCAGCAGCCGCGGUAAUAUGUAGGGGGCAAGCGUUAUCCGGAUUUAGUGGGUGUAAAGGGAGCGCAGGCGGGGUGGUAAGUCAGAGGUGAAAGCCCGGGGCUCAACCACAGGACUGCGUUGGAAACUGUCGUGCUGGAGUGUCGGAGGGGUAAGUGGAAUUCCUGGUGUAGCGGUGAAAUGCGUAGAUAUUAGGAAGAACACCAGUGGCGAAGGCGGCUUGCUGGACGACAACUGACGCUGAGGCUCGAAAGCGUGGGGAGCAAACAGGAUUAGAUACCCCUGUAGUC